RNAcentral lists this ribosomal RNA (253 nucleotides) under uncultured bacterium. Its description in RNAcentral is "partial 16S ribosomal RNA". It matches the Rfam family "Bacterial small subunit ribosomal RNA", at positions 524 to 776 of the family's 1533-position model. The record is from RNAcentral.
GACGUAGGGCGCGAGCGUUGUCCGGAUUUAUUGGGCGUAAAGAGCUCGUAGGCGGCUUGUCGCGUCGUUCGUGAAAACUCACAGCUCAACUGUGAGCUUGCGGUCGAUACGGGCAGGCUAGAGUUCGGUAGGGGAGACUGGAAUUCCUGGUGUAGCGGUGAAAUGCGCAGAUAUCAGGAGGAACACCGGUGGCGAAGGCGGGUCUCCGGGCCGAUACUGACGCUGAGGAGCGAAAGCGUGGGGAGCGAACAGG